GAACGCUGGCGGCGUGCUUAACACAUGCAAGUCGAACGAGAAUCUACUGAAAGAGUUUUCGGACAAUGGAUGUAGAGGAAAGUGGCGGACGGGUGAGUAACGCGUGAGGAACCUGCCUUGAAGAGGGGGACAACAGUUGGAAACGACUGCUAAUACCGCAUGACGCAUAGAGGUCGCAUGAUCUUUAUGCCAAAGAUUUAUCGCUUCAAGAUGGCCUCGCGUCUGAUUAGCUGGUUGGCGGGGUAACGGCCCACCAAGGCGACGAUCAGUAGCCGGACUGAGAGGUUGAACGGCCACAUUGGGACUGAGAUACGGCCCAGACUCCUACGGGAGGCAGCAGUGGGGAAUAUUGGGCAAUGGGCGCAAGCCUGACCCAGCAACGCCGCGUGAAGGAGGAAGGCUUUCGGGUUGUAAACUUCUUUUAAGAGGGAAGAGUAGAAGACGGUACCUCUAGAAUAAGCCACGGCUAACUACGUGCCAGCAGCCGCGGUAAUACGUAGGUGGCAAGCGUUGUCCGGAUUUACUGGGUGUAAAGGGCGUGCAGCCGGGUCUGCAAGUCAGAUGUGAAAUCCAUGGGCUCAACCCAUGAACUGCAUUUGAAACUGUGGAUCUUGAGUGUCGGAGGGGCAAUCGGAAUUCCUAGUGUAGCGGUGAAAUGCGUAGAUAUUAGGAGGAACACCAGUGGCGAAGGCGGAUUGCUGGACGAUAACUGACGGUGAGGCGCGAAAGUGUGGGGAGCAAACAGGAUUAGAUACCCUGGUAGUCCACACUGUAAACGAUGAAUACUAGGUGUGCGGGGACUGACCCCCUGCGUGCCGCAGUAAACACAAUAAGUAAUCCACCUGGGAAGUACGACCGCAAGGUUGAAACUCAAAGGAAUUGACGGGGGCCCGCACAAGCAGUGGAGUAUGUGGUUUAAUUCGACGCAACGCGAAGAACCUUACCAAGUCUUGACAUCCUGCGACGAUGCUGGAAACAGUAUUUUCCUUCGGGACGCAGAGACAGGUGGUGCAUGGUUGUCGUCAGCUCGUGUCGUGAGAUGUUGGGUUAAGUCCCGCAACGAGCGCAGCCCUUACUGUCAGUUACUACGCAAGAGGACUCUGGCAGGACUGCCGUUGACAAAACGGAGGAAGGUGGGGAUGACGUCAAAUCAUCAUGCCCUUUAUGACUUGGGCUACACACGUACUACAAUGGCGUUAAACAAAGAGAAGCAAGACCGCGAGGUGGAGCAAAACUCAGAAACAACGUCCCAGUUCGGACUGCAGGCUGCAACUCGCCUGCACGAAGUCGGAAUUGCUAGUAAUCGUGGAUCAGCAUGCCACGGUGAAUACGUUCCCGGGCCUUGUACACACCGCCCGUCACACCAUGAGAGCCGGGGGGACCCGAAGUCGGUAGUCUAACCGUAAGGAGGACGCCGCCGAAGGUAAAACUGGUGAUUG
Molecule: ribosomal RNA, 1439 nt
Filed under: uncultured organism
Description: SSU rRNA
Rfam family: Bacterial small subunit ribosomal RNA
Source: RNAcentral